GUUUUUAUGGUGUAACUAACACUUUACAUUUUCAUUGUAAAACUAAAGAUUUUUAAUUCUUUUUAAAACAU
RNAcentral lists this transfer RNA (71 nucleotides) under Belzebub intermedius. Its description in RNAcentral is "tRNA-Glu". The record is from RNAcentral. Lineage: Eukaryota; Metazoa; Arthropoda; Malacostraca; Decapoda; Luciferidae.